AAGGUCAUAACAAGGUUUCCUGUAGGUGAACCUGCAGAAGGAUCAUUACUGAAUUGUUAAAAGUGGGGAAGUUGCUUUCGAGCACUCCUCUACAUUCAUUAUUCCUAACACCUGUGAAUCGUUGCUGAGUUUGCUCAGUGGCACCUUUUUUUGACACACACAAAAAAUGUAUAGACGUAAAACUAUUAAAAGUAAAAAGUACAAC
RNAcentral lists this unclassified non-coding RNA (205 nucleotides) under plant metagenome. Its description in RNAcentral is "partial contains small subunit ribosomal RNA and internal transcribed spacer 1". The record is from RNAcentral.